Molecule: non-coding RNA, 197 nt
Organism: Oryza nivara
Lineage: Eukaryota; Viridiplantae; Streptophyta; Magnoliopsida; Poales; Poaceae
Source: Rfam
CCUUCAUGCAGUUUUACACUAUUCACGUUUAACGUUUAACCGUUCAUCUUAUUUGAAAUUUUUGUAUGAUUAGUAUUUUUAUUGUUAUUAGAUGAUAAAAUAUGAAUAGUACUUUAUGUGUGAAUUAAUAUUUUCAAAUUUUUCAAAUAAGACAAACGGUUAAACGUUGGGCACGGAUAUCCAUAAUUAUACUUAUU